This 655-nucleotide long non-coding RNA is filed under the name Homo sapiens (human). RNAcentral describes it as "HSALNT0325269". Lineage: Eukaryota; Metazoa; Chordata; Mammalia; Primates; Hominidae. The record is from RNAcentral.
GGAAGCUUCCAGCCCGGGAGAAAGAAGGAAGCCACAAAACCCAGCAUCAAGUUUCUCCCACCUUAUUCUGCCUGUUUUGUUCUAGCCGUGCUGGCAGCAACUGCAUGGUGCCCAGGCACAUUGAGGGGAAGUCAGAAAUGCCUUGUAGACCUCUCCUAUCGUGUCCGGAAUUGGUGGGUUCUUGGUGUCACUGACUUCAAGAAGGAAUCCGCAGACCCUCGCGGUGAGUGUUACAGUUCUUAAAGGCGGCGUGUCCGAAGUUUGUUCGUUCUGAUGUUCGGAUGUGUUCGGAGUUUAUUCCUUCUGGUGGGUUCGUGGUCUCGCUGGCUCAGGAGAAAAGCUGUGGACCUUCCCGCUCAUUGGCUAAAACAACAUUGAUACAUUUUUUGCGCAAAGAUGGAGGCCUCCCUUUGUCCUCACCAAAGCCAGUAGGAAUGUAAACUACAUGAGAGCAGAAACCUUGCUUGUCUCCAUCACAGUGCCUGGAACAGUGCCUGGGAAGUGGUGGUGGGUGCAGCACAAUCAAUAUUUGGGGAAUGAAUUGUUAUCGUUCAGCCCAGCAUGGUCAGUGGUUGUCAAAGGCGACAAUGCAUCGGUAUUGUCUGAAGAAAUUUUCAAAUACCUGCUCCUUUCUAGGAUCCAGACACAGGAUAAG